Molecule: long non-coding RNA, 1217 nt
Organism: Homo sapiens (human)
Lineage: Eukaryota; Metazoa; Chordata; Mammalia; Primates; Hominidae
Gene: SDHAP4
Product: SDHA pseudogene 4
Source: Ensembl
GGUGCGCAGGCGCAGUCUGCGCAGGGACUGGCGGGACUGCGCGGAGGCGACUGCAGACGUAUCGGGGGUCCGGAGCCUGUCGCGGCUGCUAAGCGCUCGGCGCCUGGCGCUGGCGCUGGCCAAGGCUUGGCCAACAGUGUUGCAAACAGGAACCCGAGGUGUUCACUUCACUGUUGAAGGAACGAGAGGGCAUCUGCUAAAGUUUCAGAUUCCAUUUCUGCUCAGUAUCCAGUAGUGGAUCAUGAAUUUGAUGCAGUGGUGGUAGGCGCUGGAGGGGCAGGCUUUGCGAGCUGCAUUUGGCCUUUCCGAGGCAGAGUUUGAUACAGCAUGUGUUACCAAGCUGUUUCCUACCAGGUCACACACUGUUGCAGCGCAGCUAGAAAAUUAUGGCAUGCCGUUUAGCAGAACUGAAGAUGGGAAGAUUUAUCAGCGUGCAUUUGGUGGACAGAGCCUCAAGUUUGGAAAGGGCAGGCAGGCCCAUCGGUGCUGCUGUGUGGCUGAUCGGACCGGCCACUCAAUAUUGCACACCUCAUAUGGGAGGUCUCUGAGAUAUGAUACCAGCUGUUUUGUGGAGUAUUUUGCCUUGGAUCUCCUGAUAGAGAACAGGGAGUGCCGUGGUGUCAUUGCACUGUGCAUAGAGGACGGGUCCAUCCAUCACAUAAGAGCAAAGAACACUGUUGUUGCCACAGGAGUCAAGAAACUUUUCUUUUGAGCUAUUGACAGCUUUUAACAAGUUAUUAUACUCCUAUGAACAAAAUUUGGAGCAUAUUUGUUUCUCUCUGCCUGAUUUCUCCUGAAUUUGGAAACUAUUUUGCCAUGGUCUCCAUGAACUGAUUUUUUUGUGCAGUGGGCAGGAAGAACCCAUCGGGCAGCUACACAUCUUGAAAGAGAAGCUCUUCCUGUGAGGGAACGCAGAACGCUCUGGCACCUUCAACAGACUUGCCCCUUGGGGAGCUCUGGAGACAGCCACAGCAGCGCCCCUGGAGACCCCCGGCUGAAGGGACAGCAGCGAGAGGCCUCCCCACAAGGAGCCUGACAGCGGCUGGACUGAAGACUGUGAGGGAGCUGAGCCACAGUGCAUCCAAGCUGCUCCAGGUGGGGCACGCUGGCUCAUACCUGUAACCCCAGCACUUUGGGAGGACAAGGCUGGCAGAUUGCUUGAGCUCAGGAGUUCGAGACCAGCCUGGGCAACAUGGCAAAACCAUAUCCUACAAAAA